Bos taurus (domestic cattle) is the source of this 74-nucleotide microRNA precursor. Lineage: Eukaryota; Metazoa; Chordata; Mammalia; Artiodactyla; Bovidae. The record is from Ensembl.
AGUUGACCAGAAAAGUUCGGUCGGGUUUUUCUGCAACAUCUAAUGAAAAAACCAAAAGAACUUUUUGGCCACCU